GUGUGCUGAUGGUCUAAAAGGCCAAGACGGCAGCCUUCAUCUGCCCUCGGGCCUCUUAGAGCUGCAAAUGUUCGUUCGAAUCGAACCAGCGCACG
This 95-nucleotide transfer RNA is filed under the name Microbacterium oxydans. RNAcentral describes it as "tRNA-Glu". Lineage: Bacteria; Bacillati; Actinomycetota; Actinomycetes; Micrococcales; Microbacteriaceae. The record is from RNAcentral.